This 278-nucleotide ribosomal RNA is filed under the name uncultured bacterium. RNAcentral's name for it is "partial 16S ribosomal RNA". It matches the Rfam family "Bacterial small subunit ribosomal RNA", at positions 29 to 334 of the family's 1533-position model. The record is from RNAcentral.
AACGAACGCUGGCGGCAGGCUUAACACAUGCAAGUCGAACGAGACCUUCGGGUCUAGUGGCGCACGGGUGAGUAAUACUUGGGAACGUACCUUUCAGUUCGGAAUAACGUCGGGAAACUGACGCUAAUAUCGAAUAUUCCCUCCGGGGGAAAGAUUUAUCGCUGAAAGAUCGGCCCAAGCCAGAUUAGCUUGUUGGUGGGGUAAUGGCCUACCAAGGCAACGAUCUGUAGCUGUUCUGAGAGGAAGACCAGCCACACUGGGACUGAGACACGGCCCAG